This 281-nucleotide long non-coding RNA is filed under the name Lathyrus oleraceus (garden pea). RNAcentral describes it as "Pisum sativum (pea) long non-coding RNA (PSAT_LNC026019)". The record is from RNAcentral. Lineage: Eukaryota; Viridiplantae; Streptophyta; Magnoliopsida; Fabales; Fabaceae.
CUUAAUGUGUCUACUUAAAAUGUUAUGUUGAUCAAAAUUGCAAAAUCUCAAAAGAAAUACAUGUGAUAAUGCAAAACAUUAUAGGUCUCUUUGGGCCAAAUGCAUUGAAAUGUGAAAAAGUCCUACUUCAAGUGCCCAUAACUUCUUCAUUAAAAAUCCAAAUGAUGCUAAAUAUAAGUCCAAAUUGAUUUUCUUGAAAAGAUCUACAACUUUCUAGUUGAAGAUGGUAUCAUUUGGAGCUUGCAUCAGUGAAACAGAAGGGCUUGAACAUUGGCGAAAUU